GGAUUAAUUUAUUGGUCGUGCUAUUGUACGUACUGGUAUUAUUGAUUCCUACCUUCUGACGAACCAUGAUGUCAUUAAUUUGGUGUCAUGGGGAAUCAGGACUGUUACUUUGAAAAAAUUAGAGUGUUCAAAGCAGGCAAUCGCUUGGAUACAUUAGCAUGGAAUAAUGGAAUAGGACAA
Molecule: ribosomal RNA, 180 nt
Filed under: uncultured Glomeromycotina
Lineage: Eukaryota; Fungi; Glomeromycota
Description: partial small subunit ribosomal RNA
Rfam family: Eukaryotic small subunit ribosomal RNA
Source: RNAcentral